Molecule: ribosomal RNA, 671 nt
Filed under: uncultured Bacilli bacterium
Lineage: Bacteria; Bacillati; Bacillota; Bacilli
Description: bacterial SSU rRNA
Rfam family: Bacterial small subunit ribosomal RNA
Source: RNAcentral
AUGCAAGUCGAGCGAAGUUUUUCUGGUGCUUGCACUAGAAAAACUUAGCGGCGAACGGGUGAGUAACACGUAAAGAACCUGCCUCAUAGACGGGGACAACUAUUGGAAACGAUAGCUAAUACCGGAUAACAGCAUAAAUCGCAUGAUAUAUGUUUAAAAGUUGGUUUCGGCUAACACUAUGAGAUGGCUUUGCGGUGCAUUAGCUAGUUGGUGGGGUAAAGGCCUACCAAGGCGACGAUGCAUAGCCGACCUGAGAGGGUGAUCGGCCACACUGGGACUGAGACACGGCCCAGACUCCUACGGGAGGCAGCAGUAGGGAAUCUUCCGCAAUGGGCGAAAGCCUGACGGAGCAACGCCGCGUGAGUGAAGAAGGAUUUCGGUUCGUAAAGCUCUGUUGUUAGGGAAGAAUGAUUGUAUAGUAACUAUAUACAGUAGAGACGGUACCUAACCAGAAAGCCACGGCUAACUACGUGCCAGCAGCCGCGGUAAUACGUAGGUGGCAAGCGUUGUCCGGAAUUAUUGGGCGUAAAGCGCGCGCAGGUGGUUUAAUAAGUCUGAUGUGAAAGCCCACGGCUCAACCGUGGAGGGUCAUUGGAAACUGUUAAACUUGAGUGCAGGAGAGAAAAGUGGAAUUCCUAGUGUAGCGGUGAAAUGCGUAGAGAUUAGGAGGA